Long non-coding RNA from Patiria miniata (bat star), 151 nucleotides. RefSeq lists it as uncharacterized. The transcript has 2 exons. NCBI's taxonomy places the organism in Eukaryota, Metazoa, Echinodermata, Asteroidea, Valvatida, Asterinidae. The record is from RefSeq and is a predicted model, not a curated record.
GAUGUUUGCAAAUGUUGUAUUUUCCCUUUAAGUGAAAUGCUUAGAACUGCUUUUGAGUUAAAUUCAGUUUUUAUUGCAGUUCCAGUAACACACGAAGUAAAGGUUAAGCGGUUUUGUGUCGGGGAACAAGGAAUGUAGUCUACAACCUCAC